RNAcentral lists this ribosomal RNA (471 nucleotides) under Achaeta cf. brevivasa PDW-2010. RNAcentral describes it as "partial 16S ribosomal RNA". It matches the Rfam family "Bacterial large subunit ribosomal RNA", at positions 1816 to 2597 of the family's 2925-position model. Lineage: Eukaryota; Metazoa; Annelida; Clitellata; Enchytraeida; Enchytraeidae. RNAcentral also lists the same sequence under 1 other name. The record is from RNAcentral.
UGCUUAUUGAAAAAAAUAAUAAGUAAACCCUGCCCAAUGAAAAUUAAAUGGCCGCGGUAUCCUAACCGUGCUAAGGUAGCAUAAUCACUUGUCUAUUAAUUAUAGACUAGAAUGAACGGGUAAACGAAAUCUAACCUAUUAAAUUACAUAUCAUAAAAAUUAACCUAUAAGUGAAGAUGCUUAUAUAAAAUUGAAGGACAAGAAGACCCUAGAGAGCUUUAAUUUUCAGAUAUAAUAAUAUCUAUAAGUUUUGGUUGGGGCGACCAAGGAUAAAUCAUCCAUAUAAAAAAAGACUCAUAUGUCUAUAUAUUGAGCUUUAAUAAAACUAUCAAUAAAGUUACCUUAGGGAUAACAGGCUAAUCUUAUUUAAGAGUUCCUAUCUAAAAUAAGGAUUGGCACCUCGAUGUUGGCUUAGAUUACCUUUAUAGUGCAGUAAUUAUAAUAGUGGGUUUGUUCAACCUUUAAAAAUCU